Molecule: ribosomal RNA, 425 nt
Filed under: uncultured bacterium
Lineage: Bacteria
Description: partial 16S ribosomal RNA
Rfam family: Bacterial small subunit ribosomal RNA
Source: RNAcentral
GUGGGGAAUAUUGGGCAAUGGGCGAAAGCCUGACCCAGCAACGCCGCGUGAAGGAAGAAGGUUUUCGGAUCGUAAACUUCUAUCCUUGGUGAAGAUAAUGACGGUAGCCAAGAAGGAAGCCCCGGCUAACUACGUGCCAGCAGCCGCGGUAAUACGUAGGGGGCAAGCGUUGUCCGGAAUGAUUGGGCGUAAAGGGCGCGUAGGAGGCCCGGUAAGUCUGAAGUGAAAGUACUGCUUUUAAGGUGGGAAUUGCUUUGGAUACUGUCGGGCUUGAGUGCAGGAGAGGUAAGCGGAAUUCCCGGUGUAGCGGUGAAAUGCGUAGAGAUCGGGAGGAACACCAGUGGCGAAGGCGGCUUACUGGACUGUAACUGACGUUGAGGCUCGAAAGCGUGGGGAGCAAACAGGAUUAGAUACCCUGGUAGUCC